This 286-nucleotide ribosomal RNA is filed under the name Kluyvera georgiana ATCC 51603. RNAcentral describes it as "partial 23S ribosomal RNA". It matches the Rfam family "Bacterial large subunit ribosomal RNA", at positions 1 to 287 of the family's 2925-position model. The record is from RNAcentral. Lineage: Bacteria; Pseudomonadati; Pseudomonadota; Gammaproteobacteria; Enterobacterales; Enterobacteriaceae.
GGUUAAGCGACUAAGCGUACACGGUGGAUGCCCUGGCAGUCAGAGGCGAUGAAGGACGUGCUAAUCUGCGAUAAGCGUCGGUAAGGUGAUAUGAACCGUUAUAACCGGCGAUUUCCGAAUGGGGAAACCCAGUGUGUUUCGACACACUAUCGUUAACUGAAUACAUAGGUUAACGAAGCGAACCGGGGGAACUGAAACAUCUAAGUACCCCGAGGAAAAGAAAUCAACCGAGAUUCCCCCAGUAGCGGCGAGCGAACGGGGAACAGCCCAGAGUCUGAAUCAGCUU